AUGAACGCUAGCGGCAGGCCUAACACAUGCAAGUCGAGGGGCAGCACAGGUAGCAAUACUGGGUGGCGACCGGCGGAUGGGUGCGUAACGCGUAUGCAACCUACCAUUGAUUGGGGCAUAGCCCGAAGAAAUUCGGAUUAAUACUCCAUAAUAUUCAUCAAAGGCAUCUUUUAUGAAUUAAAGCUUUUGCGAUCAAUGAUGGGCAUGCGUGACAUUAGUUAGUUGGUGAGGUAACGGCUCACCAAAACGAUGAUGUCUAGGGGUUCGUGAGAGGAUUAUCCCCCACACUGGUACUGAGACACGGACCAGACUCCUACGGGAGGCAGCAGUGAGGAAUAUUGGUCAAUGGACGCAAGUCUGAACCAGCCAUGCCGCGUGCAGGAUGACGGCCCUAUGGGUUGUAAACUGCUUUUCCACGGGAAGAACCCUCCGACGUGUCGGAGACUGACGGUACCGUGGGAAUAAGCAUCGGCUAACUCCGUG
RNAcentral lists this ribosomal RNA (483 nucleotides) under uncultured bacterium. Its description in RNAcentral is "bacterial SSU rRNA". It matches the Rfam family "Bacterial small subunit ribosomal RNA", at positions 29 to 507 of the family's 1533-position model. The record is from RNAcentral.